RNAcentral lists this ribosomal RNA (465 nucleotides) under uncultured Acidobacteriota bacterium. RNAcentral describes it as "uncultured Acidobacteria bacterium partial 16S ribosomal RNA". The record is from RNAcentral. Lineage: Bacteria; Pseudomonadati; Acidobacteriota.
GACUACUGGGGUAUCUAAUCCUGUUUGCUCCCCACGCUUUCGCGCAUCAGCGUCAGAACCGGUCCAGGUAGCCGCCUUCGCCACCGGUGUUCCUCCCAAUAUCUACGCAUUUCACCGCUACACUGGGAAUUCCACUACCCUCUCCCGGCCUCAAGCCUUGCAGUAUCCGAGGCAGUUCCUCAGUUGAGCUGAGGGAUUUCACCCAAGACUUACAAGGCCGCCUACGCGCCCUUUACGCCCAAUAAUUCCGAAUAACGCUUGCCCCCUCUGUAUUACCGCGGCUGCUGGCACAGAGUUAGCCGGGGCUUCCUCUGGGGGUACCGUCAAGUUUGCCGACUGUUCGCCGACAUCCCUUCGUCCCCCCUAACAGGAGUUUACAAUCCGAAGACCUUCAUCCUCCACGCGGCGUUGCUGGAUCAGGGUUUCCCCCAUUGUCCAAUAUUCCCCACUGCAGCCGCCCGUAGG